This 503-nucleotide ribosomal RNA is filed under the name uncultured bacterium. RNAcentral's name for it is "partial 16S ribosomal RNA". It matches the Rfam family "Bacterial small subunit ribosomal RNA", at positions 30 to 523 of the family's 1533-position model. The record is from RNAcentral.
AUUGAACGCUGGCGGCAGGCUUAACACAUGCAAGUCGAGCGGGGUGAUGGUGCUUGCACUAUCACUUAGCGGCGGACGGGUGAGUAAUGCUUAGGAAUCUGCCUAUUAGUGGGGGACAACAUCUCGAAAGGGAUGCUAAUACCGCAUACGUCCUACGGGAGAAAGCAGGGGAUCACUUGUGACCUUGCGCUAAUAGAUGAGCCUAAGUCGGAUUAGCUAGUUGGUGGGGUAAAGGCCUACCAAGGCGACGAUCUGUAGCGGGUCUGAGAGGAUGAUCCGCCACACUGGGACUGAGGCACGGCCCAGACUCCUACGGGAGGCAGCAGUGGGAAAUAUUGGACAAUGGGGGGAACCCUGAUCCAGCCAUGCCGCGUGUGUGAAGAAGGCCUUAUGGUUGUAAAGCACUUUAAGCGAGGAGGAGGCUCUUUUGGUUAAUACCCAAGAUGAGUGGACGUUACUCGCAGAAUAAGCACCGGCUAACUCUGUGCCAGCAGCCGCGGUAA